GCCCGGGUGGCGGAAUGGUAGACGCAGGGGGCUUAAACCCCCCGGACCUGAAAGGGUCAUGCGGGUUCGAGUCCCGCCCCGGGUA
RNAcentral lists this transfer RNA (85 nucleotides) under Acidithrix ferrooxidans. It matches the Rfam family "tRNA". From Rfam's summary of the family: Transfer RNA (tRNA) molecules are approximately 80 nucleotides in length. Their secondary structure includes four short double-helical elements and three loops (D, anti-codon, and T loops). RNAcentral also lists the same sequence under 1 other name. The record is from Rfam by way of RNAcentral. Lineage: Bacteria; Bacillati; Actinomycetota; Acidimicrobiia; Acidimicrobiales; Acidimicrobiaceae.